This 496-nucleotide ribosomal RNA is filed under the name uncultured bacterium. Its description in RNAcentral is "partial 16S ribosomal RNA". It matches the Rfam family "Bacterial small subunit ribosomal RNA", at positions 29 to 507 of the family's 1533-position model. The record is from RNAcentral.
AUGAACGCUGGCGGCGUGCCUAAUACAUGCAAGUCGAGCGAACAGACGAGGAGCUUGCUCCUCUGACGUUAGCGGCGGACGGGUGAGUAACACGUGGAUAACCUACCUAUAAGACUGGGAUAACUUCGGGAAACCGGAGCUAAUACCGGAUAAUAUAUUGAACCGCAUGGUUCAAUAGUGAAAGACGGUUUUGCUGUCACUUAUAGAUGGAUCCGCGCCGCAUUAGCUAGUUGGUAAGGUAACGGCUUACCAAGGCGACGAUGCGUAGCCGACCUGAGAGGGUGAUCGGCCACACUGGAACUGAGACACGGUCCAGACUCCUACGGGAGGCAGCAGUAGGGAAUCUUCCGCAAUGGACGAAAGCCUGACGGAGCAACGCCGCGUGAGUGAUGAAGGUCUUCGGAUCGUAAAACUCUGUUAUUAGGGAAGAACAAAUGUGUAAGUAACUAUGCACGUCUUGACGGUACCUAAUCAGAAAGCCACGGCUAACUACGUG